CAUGUUUGUGUGUAAUUAUUUGCUGCUAAAUAGAACUAAAUUCUCCAAAUAUUAAUAAAAUGUUCAUGACAGUAAAUUAAAUAUUUGAAAUCUUGUUCUCUUUAUAAAAGUUUGGAGAAAAAACUUUAAAAUCCUUAAAAAUGUAAAAAAUAUUAAAUGAGUCUUAGAAUGUGUGUCAUUAAUCGUAGUUUGAUUGUAAUAUAAAGUGUGUUUAGAUUUCUGUUCUCCUACUGAUGCACUAAAAACUAAAGACACCACUAGAGGGCGCUUAGCUCCCUCCAGGGAUGAGACAGAGACAAACCCUACAUUUUACAGUGAAGCUGUUCUAGUGUGUUCUUUUCUUUGUUCUUACAAACGGACCCACCCCAAAACUCACUGAGCUGCCAGACAUGAGAUUGUUGGACUUCUGUUCAAGUUCUUGAUCACAAUUUUCUGAUAAAAAUACAUUAAACUGUGGAAUAUGUGGGAAUUUGAGGUAAUUGUUUGAAAUGAUUGAUCCUUUUGAUAUAAAAAACACAAAAUGAAAGAUAAACAGAUAUAAACUCCAUCAUUUUCCUGUGUUUUCUCUGAACAGAGAGAUCAGAGUCAUCCUGCCACACCAGGUUCCUGUUCCAGAAAGCUGUUAACUCACCAUCUAGGAAACCCUCACCUUCAGGUUGAUCAACUCCUCACCUUCCCACGCUGAGAAUCUGUGUUCCACCUGGAGGUUACAGUUGUGGACUGAAUCCUGGAUGACUCAGACUGAUGAAGUCAGUUGGAUGAGCGACAGAAGGUUUCAAGGAAGAUUUUGAGUCCAGUUGCUCAGAGUCAACUUCAAGACAACACCACCUGGAUGAUUGAGAAUCUUCACAGAUAAACAUAAAAAGAAAACCGAUUUCUCUUUUUACACAGGA
Molecule: long non-coding RNA, 893 nt
Organism: Oryzias melastigma (Indian medaka)
Lineage: Eukaryota; Metazoa; Chordata; Actinopteri; Beloniformes; Adrianichthyidae
Exons: 2
Source: RefSeq, a predicted model, not a curated record